AGCAGCCGCCGCGGUAAUACGAAGGGGGCUAGCGUUGUUCGGAAUUACUGGGCGUAAAGCGCACGUAGGCGGAUGUUUAAGUCCGUUGUGAAAGCCCUGGGCUCAACCUGGGAAUUGCAGUGGAUACUGGGUCACUAGAGUGUGGUAGAGGAUAGUGGAAUUUCCGGUGUAGCAGUGAAAUGCGUAGAGAUCGGAAGGAACAUCUGUGGCGAAGGCGACUAUCUGGGCCAACACUGACACUGAGGCACGAAAGCGUGGGGAGCAAACAGGAUUAGAUACCCGCGUAGUCCCUGUCUCUUAUAU
RNAcentral lists this ribosomal RNA (303 nucleotides) under uncultured bacterium. RNAcentral describes it as "partial 16S ribosomal RNA". It matches the Rfam family "Bacterial small subunit ribosomal RNA", at positions 507 to 809 of the family's 1533-position model. The record is from RNAcentral.